AAUAUUUUUUUAAAAAGAUCAAAAUAUCACAAUCAUAGAUUCCAAGGUAUAUUACAAGGCUAUAGUCAUCAAAAUAGUAAGGUACUAGCACAAAAAUAGACACACAGAUCAAUGGAACAGAAUAGAAAACCCAGAAA
Molecule: long non-coding RNA, 137 nt
Organism: Lutra lutra (Eurasian river otter)
Lineage: Eukaryota; Metazoa; Chordata; Mammalia; Carnivora; Mustelidae
Exons: 3
Source: RefSeq, a predicted model, not a curated record